UAUUGUGGAACUUUAUUUGGCUAAUGUAAGGAUUGGGUUCCAACUUGAAUGCCCCAGGUAUUAAAGUGAAAUUAAGGUCUCUAUCCGGUCUAAUGACGAUCUUGAUCUUUAGAAUUCAAAUCAAUGUCCAAACUUUCCAAUUCCAAUGUUUUAAAGUCUUAUCCGGUGCUUGGUCGUGGCUUAGUCCGAUCUCAAGCUUAUGUAUAAUGUUUUCCGAUUUUUUAUACUUAGGUUAAUGGUUGCUUUUAAGUUUACUGUCUAACACGUUCAAAGCAAUUAAGUACUCAUACAAUUUGG
Molecule: unclassified non-coding RNA, 297 nt
Filed under: Hevea brasiliensis (rubber tree)
Lineage: Eukaryota; Viridiplantae; Streptophyta; Magnoliopsida; Malpighiales; Euphorbiaceae
Source: RNAcentral